CUCAGAAAGAAACGGCAUGGUAUCCCCAUUCAUGCCGCCAAGCGGCAGGGGAUAAAUGGGAAUGCGGUGAGGGUGACCCAAUCAGGGGCCUGAUGCCGCAGCCGCCCCCGCGACUGUAAGCGGUGAGUGGAUGUCGAAUACCACUGGAGCGUUGGGAAACCAACAAUCUGGGAAGGUGACAUUGCACUUUGACCCGCGAGCCAGGAGACCAGCCUUGCAGCAACGUAACCG
RNAcentral lists this non-coding RNA (231 nucleotides) under Falsihalocynthiibacter arcticus. The record is from RNAcentral. Lineage: Bacteria; Pseudomonadati; Pseudomonadota; Alphaproteobacteria; Rhodobacterales; Roseobacteraceae.